This is a long non-coding RNA of Bombus impatiens (common eastern bumble bee), 647 nucleotides long. RefSeq lists it as uncharacterized. The record is from RefSeq and is a predicted model, not a curated record. NCBI's taxonomy places the organism in Eukaryota, Metazoa, Arthropoda, Insecta, Hymenoptera, Apidae. The transcript has 2 exons.
AACCCUAUGGUACGUUUCAACUUGAAACAUGUUUAAUGGAAAUUAAGGACGUUGACAGUAAAGUAAAAAAUGCUAAAUCUUGUGACGGUUCUUUAGGAUUAUUGCUGGUCCGAAUAAGUAUGAACGAGGGAUACAUUAUGGUUUAUGGUACAUCCUGGGACCUAACAACAUAGAACAAUUAUUUAGCAACGCGAAGAAACAAUAUGAGAUAAUUGACAAUCGCAAAAAGUAAUGAGAUAAAUUCAUUAAUGAUGAUUAUACACCGUAGCAUAUCUGUUGUAGGUAAUAUUUCAACAUUACAUGUAUCGCAUAAUAACGAAAUUCAUCGUGGCGCCACGGCCAAACCUUGUAAAACUGGCAUGUCAUUCAACGUCUUAACACUUUACCGAUCGAUAGCCGAUUAAUCGGUUUUUUGUCACCAACGAUUACCGACCGAUAGCCUAUUAAUCGGCUUUUUGUCGCCGACAAUCUUUUUCAUUAUUUGAGCAGUAAUUUGUUAUUUAAUACUAAGGUACCUUACUCAGUCGCGUCAGUUGCAUUACUUUGUAAGCUCCCACCGUUUUAUACCAAUUUGAAAAACGUACCGUUCGCAAUGAACAAAAAGAAUGGUAUCGGAGACUGUAAACCGAAACAGAGCCAGCGCCAGG